RNAcentral lists this ribosomal RNA (376 nucleotides) under uncultured bacterium. RNAcentral describes it as "bacterial SSU rRNA". It matches the Rfam family "Bacterial small subunit ribosomal RNA", at positions 524 to 898 of the family's 1533-position model. The record is from RNAcentral.
GACAGAGGGUGCAAGCGUUGUUCGGAAUUACUGGGCGUAAAGGGCGUGUAGGCGGUGGAGUGUGUCUGAUGUGAAAUCCCUCGGCUUAACCGGGGAACUGCAUCGGAAACUACUCUGCUGGAGUGCGAGAGAGGAAGGCGGAAUUCCCAGUGUAGAGGUGAAAUUCGUAGAUACUGGGAGGAACACCGGAGGCGAAGGCGGCCUUCUGGCUCGUAACUGACGCUGAGACGCGAAAGCGUGGGUAGCAAACAGGAUUAGAUACCCUGGUAGUCCACGCUGUAAACGAUGAUCACUAGGUAUUGGGAGUAUUGACCCUUCCAGUGCCGUAGCUAACGCAUUAAGUGAUCCGCCUGGGGAGUACGGUCGCAAGACUAAA